This 440-nucleotide ribosomal RNA is filed under the name uncultured bacterium. RNAcentral describes it as "partial 16S ribosomal RNA". It matches the Rfam family "Bacterial small subunit ribosomal RNA", at positions 338 to 795 of the family's 1533-position model. The record is from RNAcentral.
CCUACGGGUGGCAGCAGUGGGGAAUAUUGCACAAUGGGGGGAACCCUGAUGCAGCGACGCCGCGUGAAGGAAGAAGUAUUUCGGUAUGUAAACUUCUAUCAGCAGGGAAGAAAAUGACGGUACCUGACUAAGAAGCCCCGGCUAACUACGUGCCAGCAGCCGCGGUAAUACGUAGGGGGCAAGCGUUAUCCGGAUUUACUGGGUGUAAAGGGAGCGUAGGCGGCAGUGCAAGUCAGAAGUGAAAGCCCAAGGCUCAACCAUGGGACUGCUUUUGAAACUGUACAGCUAGAUUGCAGGAGAGGUAAGUGGAAUUCCUAGUGUAGCGGUGAAAUGCGUAGAUAUUAGGAGGAACAUCAGUGGCGAAGGCGACUAUCUGGCACAUAACUGACGCUGAGGAGCGAAAGCGUGGGUAGCAAACAGGAUUAGAUACCCGGGUAGUC